Molecule: unclassified non-coding RNA, 462 nt
Filed under: Hevea brasiliensis (rubber tree)
Lineage: Eukaryota; Viridiplantae; Streptophyta; Magnoliopsida; Malpighiales; Euphorbiaceae
Source: RNAcentral
GCCUUUUCUUCUUAUAUACUAUUCCUCCAUGGCAAUAGAUCAUCACAUGAGGCCUAUCCUUAAUUGGGACCUCCAGAUAUUAAUUUUGGUAACCCAAAUGAGAUUAGCACUGAUAACAGUAUCAAAGAUCAUGCACUCAAACCAACUAGGAGUAGAGCUACACUAAAAUCAGUUACUUUGGUAAUUCAUUGAAAUGCUAGCUCAUAAGCAGACAGUAAUAACUAAUAAGACUCAUGGUAAGACAAUCAGAAAGAAUAGCACAUUCACCAAGAGACUAGUGCUAUCAUUGCUACAAUGAUCAAGGUGAUAUUCUUGUAAUAGAUUGAGUAAUAAAUAUCUAGGAAUUGCAACCAAGAGAAUGGAAGUUUGACAAAAAAGAGUAGGCAUUUCAUUGAACAUGCUAAAGCCUUUUUGUAUCCAAUUAUUGCAUCACAAAUAAGUAAAAGCCUUUUUGUUAUUAUU